UAAAUCAAUCUCUGAUUUAUUCCACAGACUCACUUCUCAGUAUUUAGAAACUAUCCAUUACUCUUCAAUAACAAAGAAACAAAAAGAAACAAAGAGGUAGUACCAACCUUAUCCCAACUCAUGACUAUUACAGCCUGGCACCCCAACAAACUUCUACAACUCCUAUAUAAUUGCUCAUGAUUUCUAGAUUCUAACCAUAGUCUUGUAAUUAACUGCUUUUAAUAAUUAAGUUAAUUAUCUGUCUUCUUGAACUAACUAUUCUAUGGACUGUUAGGCUAUUUUAUCAAUAUCUUACAAAAACGAACUAAUAUCUAUUCUACAUAGUCCCACUCCUAUCUAUGCAGCGUCCUCACAAACACACAAUUGUUACCUAUCUAAAAAAACUAUUUAACAAAACUCUACAAAGUUACUAUUUCUUCUAGCCCAUCCAAUUAAUCAUUUGUUACAUUAUCAAAUAUAGGUUCUAUCAAAUCUGGUUCCAAUUACAAAUCUUCUUCUUCCUCCAAUCCUUUGAUCGACUCCUUUCUCAACUGGUUUGAUUGAUCUUCAUUAUACUCUCCAAAUUCAUAGACUUGAGCUUCCAGUUUCAAGAU
Molecule: long non-coding RNA, 593 nt
Filed under: Physcomitrium patens
Lineage: Eukaryota; Viridiplantae; Streptophyta; Bryopsida; Funariales; Funariaceae
Description: long non-coding RNA (PPAT_LNC014657)
Source: RNAcentral